GGAAUCUUGGACAAUGGGGGCAACCCUGAUCCAGCGACGCCGCGUGGGUGACGAAGGCCUUCGGGUUGUAAAGCCCUUUUGCCGGGGACGAUGAUGACGGUACCCGGAGAAGACGCACCGGCUAACUCCGUGCCAGCAGCCGCGGUAAUACGGAGGGUGCAAGCGUUAAUCGGAAUUACUGGGCGUAAAGCGCGCGUAGGCGGCUUUGUAAGUCGGAUGUGAAAGCCCUGGGCUUAACCUGGGAAUUGCAUUCGAUACUGCAUGGCUAGAGUAUGGUAGAGGGAAGUGGAAUUUCCGGUGUAGCGGUGAAAUGCGUAGAUAUCGGAAGGAACACCAGUGGCGAAGGCGACUUCCUGGGCCAAUACUGACGCUGAGGUGCGAAAGCGUGGGGAGCAAA
Molecule: ribosomal RNA, 397 nt
Filed under: uncultured bacterium
Lineage: Bacteria
Description: bacterial SSU rRNA
Rfam family: Bacterial small subunit ribosomal RNA
Source: RNAcentral